Molecule: unclassified non-coding RNA, 232 nt
Filed under: fungal sp.
Lineage: Eukaryota; Fungi
Description: partial internal transcribed spacer region
Source: RNAcentral
AAGUCGUAACAAGGUUUCCGUCCGUAGGACGUAGGUGAACCUGCGGAAAGAUCAUUAUUGAAUUUUCAUUCAAUUACGUUUGUGAACCAGCCGAACCACAAGCUGUGUACUGCUCUUCGGCUUAAUGUCUGAGGCCGUAACCGCGACUGACGGACUUUGAUUAUACCGUUUGUAAAAAACUGAUGGCUGAAACAUCAGUAAUCUUUAAAGACAACUUUUAUCAAUUGAUGUC